This 270-nucleotide long non-coding RNA is filed under the name Elaeis guineensis (African oil palm). RNAcentral's name for it is "long non-coding RNA (EGUI_LNC077559)". Lineage: Eukaryota; Viridiplantae; Streptophyta; Magnoliopsida; Arecales; Arecaceae. The record is from RNAcentral.
CUCUGUUCGCUACAUAUAGUAUCUCUGCCGAACCACCCAAAGCCUCUGUUUGCCACAAGAUCUUUUAAAGCCCUAAAAUCCUUCCUAGAUCUGAGAACCACUUCUGAUCGGACUCCAGAUGCUUCACGAUCAUCCGAUCAGCAUCACAAGUCUCCUGAGCUGCUCGAUCAUGCUCGAUCAAGCUCCAUCAAACCCAGAUCAUGCUCGCAAGCCAUCUGCACCAUCCGAUCGCAUGCCAGAUUGGAUCUCAACCAUCCGUUAUGCUCAGUC